CAGAACGAACGCUGGCGGCGCGUUUAAGCAUGCAAGUCGAGCGGCAAGGGCCUUCGGGCCCCUAGAGCGGCGGACGGGUGAGUAACACGUGGACAAUCUGCCCCCCGGCCCGGGAUAGCCCAGGGAAACCUGGAUUAAUACCGGAUGAGACGGGACCUGCGAUGGCGGGAUCCGGGAAAGGCGCUACGGCGCCGCCGGGGGAUGAGUCUGCGUCCCAUUAGCUAGACGGCGGGGUAACGGCCCACCGUGGCGACGAUGGGUAGCCGGCCUGAGAGGGUGGACGGCCACAUUGGAACUGAGACACGGUCCAGACUCCUACGGGAGGCAGCAGCUAAGAAUCUUCCGCAAUGGGCGAAAGCCUGACGGAGCCGACGCCGCGUGAACGAAGAAGGCCGUGAGGUUGUAAAGUUCUUUUCGGGAGGGGAACAACCGUGGCAGGGAAUGGCCGCGGGAUGACGUGAAUCCCGGAAUAAGCCCCGGCUAACUACGUGCCAGCCGCCGC
RNAcentral lists this ribosomal RNA (502 nucleotides) under uncultured bacterium. RNAcentral's name for it is "bacterial SSU rRNA". It matches the Rfam family "Bacterial small subunit ribosomal RNA", at positions 25 to 518 of the family's 1533-position model. The record is from RNAcentral.